CGCCACCUGUAAGAGGCAGCACCAUAAUGACACUGUGGAUAAGUGGCUGGGCCGUGAAGUGGGUGCCCAGUGGUUUUCUCCACACGAAGGCGCCUGAAUCUGUGAAGUAGUUGGCACUUGGAGAAGCAGGGACAGCUGGGGACAGCACACGUACAGGACGGGAAGCGCGAGAAGGAGGCGCGCCAGACGGAGGGUCCUUCCUCGUUAGCUCCGCUCGGUGGCUCCUUUUCCAUGACUACAACCGCGAGGAGGAAUCUGCCAAGCCCUCGGUGCGGCUAGUUUCCUGCCUGAUAAAGAGCCUGCUGCCGUUGGUAUUCGAGGAGUUUCUGAAUCACCCCAGGGCCUGACGCUCCGAAGGAAGGUGGAUCCUGGGGGCCCUGGGGUGGGACCCACAGUCCGGCGGAAUCCAGGCGGGAUGACACCCCCUCGAGUCUCGGAAACCGGCUCGCGGGUGCGAUGCGGUGCCGUGCGGGCACCUGCGCUCUUGUGCCUGCCGCACUGUGCAGCUCCGGUGGCACACCGGGUGACGCGGGGGCGAGGGCGAGAGGAAGUCGAGGCGCCGGGGCG
RNAcentral lists this long non-coding RNA (567 nucleotides) under Marmota monax (woodchuck). The record is from RNAcentral. Lineage: Eukaryota; Metazoa; Chordata; Mammalia; Rodentia; Sciuridae.